Molecule: long non-coding RNA, 805 nt
Filed under: Populus tremula
Lineage: Eukaryota; Viridiplantae; Streptophyta; Magnoliopsida; Malpighiales; Salicaceae
Description: long non-coding RNA (PTRE_LNC002017)
Source: RNAcentral
AAGUUCACUUUCGACUCUAUCUUUCGAUUAUUUUAUUUUUUGUGUAUUUUUUCUUACAUGACAUGGCCGCAUAGAUUGAAUCGUCAAGACUUGACUUUUGAGUUCUACUUGUACUGGAAACUCAGAGAAUGAAUUGGGAGAUGGAGGGGUUAUCAUUCAAAUAAUCCAGGCUGACAAGCUGUUAUGCCGUUAGGGCUAAUACAUAAUCAAGGUUUACAGAAAGGUUUAAUUCAGGGAUUCGGGAAUUAUUGAAGUAGUGCUAGGGAAUAUGAUCUGUUAGACAAAAUACCUCUUAGGCAAUGAAGACAAUAGAUUGUAGUUGAAAAUGUAUCAGUGUAAUCUUGCUUUUCCUAAUCAUAAAACUUUCGCCACAAGUAGCUAUGUUUUUAGAUGUAUCAGUAUGAUAUGCACGCCAAUUCAAAUGGCAAACGUUUUAUAAUGUUUUGUGCUCACUGGUUUUUCCCAGAAUUCGUUUGUCCUUGCUAGAAAACUUACUUGUCCAGGGCCUUUUCCCUGUAAUCCGUUCAGGGCCUUUUCCCUGUAAUCCUUCAGUGAAUAGUAUAUCCUGUAUCCCAAUCCCUUCAUUCUUUGUAUCACCAAAGGGGCCGGUGAAAUUGCAAAUAUAUGGACUUCACCACAGGAAGGAUCUCUGGUGUCAUCUUCAAAGGAAAUUGUAUCACGUGACAAAAGGGAGCAUUCAAAGCUAUACUUCUGGAGAAGUAGAUUAGAGGGAAAACAAUAAUGCAUUUGCUCCUUUUCUUCUCACUCACUUUUCCUAAAUGUAUGUUGCUACUAUUAUGGCAGG